GGGUCAGUAGGUUGGUCGUGCCACCGGUACGUACUGGUCUCACUGAUUCCUCCUUCCUGAAGAACCGUAAUGCCAUUAAUUUGGUGUUGCGGGGAAACAGGACUGUUACUUUGAAAAAAUUAGAGUGUUUAAAGCAAGCUAACGCUUGAAUACAUUAGCAUGGAAUAAUGAAAUAGGACGAUCGAUCCUAUUUUGUUGGCUUCUAGGGUUGACGUAAUGAUUAAUAGAUAGUUGGG
This 236-nucleotide ribosomal RNA is filed under the name Glomeromycotina sp. RNAcentral's name for it is "partial small subunit ribosomal RNA". The stretch from base 40 to 236 matches the Rfam family "Eukaryotic small subunit ribosomal RNA", at positions 686 to 884 of the family's 1831-position model. The record is from RNAcentral. Lineage: Eukaryota; Fungi; Glomeromycota.